AUAGUCGUGGCCGAGUGGUUAAGGCGAUGGAGUAGUAAAUCCAUUGGAGCUUCCCCGUGCAGGUUCGAAUCCUGCUGACUAUG
Molecule: non-coding RNA, 83 nt
Organism: Rhineura floridana
Lineage: Eukaryota; Metazoa; Chordata; Lepidosauria; Squamata; Rhineuridae
Source: the annotation of a RefSeq genome assembly